AGAGCGAACGCUGGCGGCAGGCCUAACACAUGCAAGUCGAGCGCUCCGCAAGGGGAGCGGCAGACGGGAGAGUAACACGUGGGAACGUACCCUUCAGUUCGGAACAACCCAGGGAAACUUGGGCUAAUACCGAAUACGUCCGUAAGGAGAAAGAUUUAUCGCUGAAGGAUCGGCCCGCGUCUGAUUAGCUUGUUGGUGAGGUAACGGCUCACCAAGGCGACGAUCAGUAGCUGGUCUGAGAGGAUGAUCAGCCUCACUGGGACUGAGACACGGCCCAGACUCCUACGGGAGGCAGCAGUGGGGAAUAUUGGACAAUGGGCGCAAGCCUGAUCCAGCCAUGCCGCGUGGGUGAUGAAGGCCCUAGGGUUGUAAAGCCCUUUCGGCGGGGAAGAUAAUGACGGUACCCGCAGAAGAAGCCCGGCUAACUCGUGCCAGCAGCCGC
RNAcentral lists this ribosomal RNA (442 nucleotides) under uncultured bacterium. RNAcentral's name for it is "SSU rRNA". It matches the Rfam family "Bacterial small subunit ribosomal RNA", at positions 26 to 518 of the family's 1533-position model. The record is from RNAcentral.